RNAcentral lists this ribosomal RNA (484 nucleotides) under uncultured bacterium. RNAcentral's name for it is "partial 16S ribosomal RNA". It matches the Rfam family "Bacterial small subunit ribosomal RNA", at positions 29 to 507 of the family's 1533-position model. The record is from RNAcentral.
AAUGAACGCUGGCGGCAUGCCUUACACAUGCAAGUCGAACGGCAGCGCGGGAGUAAUCCUGGCGGCGAGUGGCGCACGGGUGAGUGAUACAUCUGAAAGUGCCCAAUCGGGGGGGGUAACGCAGCGAAAGAUGUGAUAAUACCGCAUACGAUGUACUGAUGAUACCAGGGGAGGGUAAGAUCUUGCGAGCACGGAGGGGCCGAUGGCCGGUUUGGUUGGUGGUGAGGUAGAGGCUCACCUAGCCUGCGAUCUGUAGCUGGUGUGAGAGGAAGACAAGCCACACGGAGACUGGACCACGGCCCUGACUCCUCCGGUAGGGCGCAGAGUGGAAUUUUGCACAAUGGGGGCAAGCCUAGUCCAGCCAUGCCGCGUACAGGAUAAAGGCGUUCGGGUCUUAAUGUGCUUUUGUUCGGAGCGAAACGGUCUUUUCUAUUAGAGAAGGUGAAUGACGGUACCGUAAGAAUAAGCACCGGCUAACUACGUG